CCUGAUACUCGGCAAACUCAAUAGCCAUUGUCUUCAAAGUUUUAUCAGCCGGCUGAAGCAACUUGUGAGCCUCCUGCAAUCGGAAAAUAUUCAACUCUUCUGAAUAAGCAACACCAUGGUUUCUUUUUUUGGGGAUAAGCUAGAAAAGUUUUAUUCAUCGCCACACUGCGGAAAAUAUUCAACUCUUCUGAGUAAGCAACACCAUGGUUUCUUUUUUUGGGGGAUAAGCUAGAAAAGUUUUAUUCAUCGCCACAUUGGUGCUGGAUAUGUACACUCGGAUCCACGUUACUCCUGGAGACAUGUGAUGAAAUGUAUCGCUUGUCCAAGUCAUAUAAAUGUACCAUAUUCACCCGAAGGCCAAAAUUGACCUGAAGGAGGAGUUAGAGCCCAUAGAAGAGCAAGCACAGGUGGUGGUAUGCUAUCCCAGCAUGCAUAUGGCGGACUGAAUGGACUAAAAGAAAUAGAAGAUGUUUUGAAGACUCUGCUAACUCAAUCAUAUCAUUUUGUUCUGCACAUGGUGUAGAUUGGACAUGUAGACGAGGUUGAUCAGUGUUACAAAUGUUAGAAGCCCAACAGGAUUAGAAAGGACAUAUUUUGGUUGUUUUGCUUCUGAAGAUAUUG
This 621-nucleotide long non-coding RNA is filed under the name Nicotiana benthamiana. Its description in RNAcentral is "long non-coding RNA (NBEN_LNC007984)". Lineage: Eukaryota; Viridiplantae; Streptophyta; Magnoliopsida; Solanales; Solanaceae. The record is from RNAcentral.